GAGGCGAGACCGCGAGGUGGAGCAAAUCUCAAAAAGACCGUCCCAGUUCGGAUCGCAGGCUGCAACCCGCCUGCGUGAAGUUGGAAUCGCUAGUAAUCGCGGAUCAGCAUGCCGCGGUGAAUACGUUCCCGGGCCUUGUACACACCGCCCGUCACACCAUGGGAGCCGGUAAUACCCGAAGUCAGUAGCCUAACCGCAAGGGGGGCGCUGCCGAAGGUAGGAUUGGCGACUGGGGUGAAGUCGUAACAAGGUAGC
RNAcentral lists this ribosomal RNA (255 nucleotides) under uncultured bacterium. RNAcentral's name for it is "partial 16S ribosomal RNA". It matches the Rfam family "Bacterial small subunit ribosomal RNA", at positions 1246 to 1500 of the family's 1533-position model. The record is from RNAcentral.